Molecule: ribosomal RNA, 441 nt
Filed under: uncultured fungus
Lineage: Eukaryota; Fungi
Description: SSU rRNA
Rfam family: Eukaryotic small subunit ribosomal RNA
Source: RNAcentral
GGGAUCCGAUUUUAGCAUGGAAUAAUAAAAUAGGACUUUGGUUCUAUUUUGUUGGUUUCUAGGACCGAAGUAAUGAUUAAUAGGGAUAGUUGGGGGCAUUAGUAUUUAAUUGUCAGAGGUGAAAUUCUUGGAUUUAUUAAAGACUAACUUCUGCGAAAGCAUUUGCCAAGGAUGUUUUCAUUAAUCAAGAACGAAAGUUAGGGGAUCGAAGACGAUCAGAUACCGUCGUAGUCUUAACCAUAAACUAUGCCGUCUAGGGAUCAGACAAGGAUAUUUUGACUUGUUUGGCACCUUAUGAGAAAUCAAAGUUUUUGGGUUCCGGGGGGAGUAUGGUCGCAAGGCUGAAACUUAAAGGAAUUGACGGAAGGGCACCACCAGGAGUGGAGCCUCCGCCUUAAUUUGACUCCACGCGGGGAAACUCUCCAGGUCCAGAAAUCUAGA